RNAcentral lists this ribosomal RNA (497 nucleotides) under uncultured bacterium. RNAcentral describes it as "bacterial SSU rRNA". It matches the Rfam family "Bacterial small subunit ribosomal RNA", at positions 899 to 1397 of the family's 1533-position model. The record is from RNAcentral.
ACUCAAAUGAAUUGACGGGGGCCCGCACAAGCAGCGGAGCAUGUGGUUUAAUUCGACGCGACGCGAAGAACCUUACCUGGGCUUGACAUGUGAGUGACCGGCGUGGAAACACGCUUUCCCUUCGGGGCACUUUCACAGGUGGUGCAUGGCUGUCGUCAGCUCGUGUCGUGAGAUGUUGGGUUAAGUCCCGCAACGAGCGCAACCCCCGUCGCAUGUUGCCAGCAUUUAGUUGGGGACUCAUGCGAGACUGCCGGUGACAAACCGGAGGAAGGUGGGGAUGACGUCAAGUCCUCAUGCCCCUUAUGUUCAGGGCUACACACGUGCUACAUUGGCGCGUACAAAGGGCUGCGAUACCGUGAGGUGGAGCGAAUCCCGUAAAGCGCGUCUCGGUUCGGAUUGCAGGCUGAAAUUCGCCUGCAUGAAGGCGGAGUUGCUAGUAAUCGCGGAUCAGCAUUGCCGCGGUGAAUACGUUCCCGGGCCUUGUACACACCGCCCGU